GGGGAUGUGGCGGAAUUGGCAGACGCGCUAGAUUUAGGAUCUAGUGCCGAAAGGCGUGAGAGUUCGAGUCUCUCCAUCCCCA
This 82-nucleotide transfer RNA is filed under the name Planctomycetales bacterium 10988. It matches the Rfam family "tRNA". Rfam says of the family: Transfer RNA (tRNA) molecules are approximately 80 nucleotides in length. Lineage: Bacteria; Pseudomonadati; Planctomycetota; Planctomycetia; Planctomycetales. The record is from Rfam by way of RNAcentral.